Seriola aureovittata is the source of this 1283-nucleotide long non-coding RNA. RefSeq lists it as uncharacterized. Lineage: Eukaryota; Metazoa; Chordata; Actinopteri; Carangiformes; Carangidae. The transcript has 3 exons. The record is from RefSeq and is a predicted model, not a curated record.
CGUCCCCAAAACAUGUCUUUGAAGUUUCUUGCUAAAAAAUCCACUCCGAUCCUAUAUUUCAGCAUGCCUGUAAACACCUCUUUUUCAGCCCUGUUCAGAACAGGCUGCUUCUGUGUCUGUAGCUUUAAAUGCAAAUGAGCUGUGCCUGACCACGCCCCUCUUCGGAAGGGGAUGCGGCUUGGGCUUCUGGCACCAUGCUCUAAUGUUUACGGUGACCGUGACCAGCAACCUGGCGUCGGUAGCGAUUUGGUUCAACCACACGACUUUUAUCCAGAAUCUGAGCCAGAGGGAGAGGCUGCUGAAGAAGUUCAAACUCUACAACUGCAGCAGGACGUUUCUGAAUGGUGCUCCUGUGGAAACUGUGCAACCAUGCCAACAGAAGCUGAGAAUAUCUGCUGCUAGGAGAUACCACAGGUUACCAGACGGCUAUGGGAGAUCGAGGAAGAUUUACCAUGUAUGGUAGGCCGUCCUGGGUUGGAGCCGCUCUGCCUCAAUGUGUACUCCCUCCAGAAUGCCUGCAACAUAUACCUGUCACACCGUGGUGGGGUUGUCUUGUCUUGGGUCUUUUUUGUCUUGUCAUUUCCUGUUUUAUUUUGAAAGAAGUAACUCUCCUCUCGUUUCAGGUCACUUGCCCUUCCUCAUGUGUCACCGGUCUGAUUGUCUUCCCUGAUUCCCGAUUGUGUUCACCUGCUCCUCAUUACCCUCAUGUGUUCAAAUAGUCUGCGUCUCCCCUUGUCUUGUGCCAGUGUGUUCGUCUUGGUUCAUGUGCGUUCACCCCGGCCGUCUUCACAGUUUUGGAUCACAGUCAUUGCCACAGUUCUUGUUGGUUUCCUCCAAGUGAGAGAUUUUUGUUGUAAGUUUUAUAUCUAGUUGAAUUUCCUAGUUAAUGUUUGCAUAGCCUUUUGUUUCCUCCGUGUGGAGUGAUUUUUAUUUACUUAACUUUUUAUAUCAUAGUACCUCCAGUUUUAAGGAGAGUUUUUGUUGUUUCUAUUUCUUUUUUUUGUUCCUUUUUCCUCUGAAGCUAGAGUGAUUUUCUGUUUAUGUUCCCUGUAGUCUUUUUCCUCCCUUAUUGGAGUGAUUUUUAUUUUUGGUAUUGAUUAACCCUGCUUCUUCGUGAAGAAGCACGUCAUAGAUAAUAUUUCAUAGCCUGUUUUUUUCUCUGCCUUGGAAUUAAACCGGAAUUACUAAUAAAGACUCUGAUACCCUGCAUCUGCGUCCUGUGUAUAAGUCUGGUUGUGACAAUACCGCACUGACUAUGGUACUUUAUGGUUGAGAGGAAUACA